UGGGGAAUAUUGGACAAUGGGCGCAAGCCUGAUCCAGCCAUGCCGCGUGAGUGAUGAAGGCCCUAGGGUUGUAAAGCUCUUUCACCGGUGAAGAUAAUGACGGUAACCGGAGAAGAAGCCCCGGCUAACUUCGUGCCAGCAGCCGCGGUAAUACGAAGGGGGCUAGCGUUGCUCGGAUUUACUGGGCGUAAAGCGCACGUAGGCGGACUUUUAAGUCAGGGGUGAAAUCCCGGGGCUCAACCCCGGAACUGCCUUUGAUACUGGAAGUCUUGAGUAUGGUAGAGGUGAGUGGAAUUCCGAGUGUAGAGGUGAAAUUCGUAGAUAUUCGGAGGAACACCAGUGGCGAAGGCGGCUCACUGGACCAUUACUGACGCUGAGGUGCGAAAGCGUGGGGAGCAAACAGG
RNAcentral lists this ribosomal RNA (404 nucleotides) under Pseudomonas sp. Its description in RNAcentral is "partial 16S ribosomal RNA". It matches the Rfam family "Bacterial small subunit ribosomal RNA", at positions 355 to 776 of the family's 1533-position model. Lineage: Bacteria; Pseudomonadati; Pseudomonadota; Gammaproteobacteria; Pseudomonadales; Pseudomonadaceae. RNAcentral also lists the same sequence under 3 other names. The record is from RNAcentral.